This 253-nucleotide ribosomal RNA is filed under the name uncultured bacterium. RNAcentral's name for it is "partial 16S ribosomal RNA". It matches the Rfam family "Bacterial small subunit ribosomal RNA", at positions 524 to 776 of the family's 1533-position model. The record is from RNAcentral.
UACAGAGGGGGCAAGCGUUGUUCGGAAUUACUGGGCGUAAAGGGCGCGUAGGCGGCCUUCUAAGUCGAACGUGAAAUCCCUGGGCUCAACCCAGGAACUGCGUCCGAUACUGGGAGGCUUGAAUCCGGGAGAGGGAUGCGGAAUUCCAGGUGUAGUGGUGAAAUGCGUAGAUAUCUGGAGGAACACCGGUGGCGAAGGCGGCAUCCUGGACCGGCAUUGACGCUGAGGCGCGAAAGCCAGGGGAGCAAACGGG